GAUGAAGAACGUAGCAAAAUGCGAUAAGUAAUGUGAAUUGCAGAAUUCAGUGAAUCAUCGAAUCUUUGAACGCACAUUGCGCCCGCCAGUAUUCUGGCGGGCAUGCCUGUUCGAGCGUCAUUUCAACCCUCAAGCACAGCUUGGUGUUGGGAUUCGCGUUAAUUCGCGUUCCCCAAAUUGAUUGGCGGUCACGUCGAGCUUCCAUAGCGUAGUAGUAAAACCCUCGUUACUGGUAAUCGUCGCGGCCACGCCGUUAAACCCCAACUUCUGAAUGUUGACCUCGGAUCAGGUAGGAAUACCCGCUGAACUUAAGCAUAUCAAUAAGCCGAGGA
RNAcentral lists this unclassified non-coding RNA (332 nucleotides) under soil metagenome. RNAcentral's name for it is "partial contains 5.8S ribosomal RNA, internal transcribed spacer 2, and large subunit ribosomal RNA". The stretch from base 1 to 120 matches the Rfam family "5.8S ribosomal RNA", at positions 35 to 154 of the family's 154-position model. The record is from RNAcentral.